RNAcentral lists this ribosomal RNA (490 nucleotides) under uncultured bacterium. RNAcentral describes it as "partial 16S ribosomal RNA". It matches the Rfam family "Bacterial small subunit ribosomal RNA", at positions 28 to 507 of the family's 1533-position model. The record is from RNAcentral.
GAUGAACGCUAGCUACAGGCUUAACACAUGCAAGUCGAGGGGAAACGAUGAGAGAGCUUGCUCUCUUAGGCGUCGACCGGCGCACGGGUGAGUAACGCGUAUCCAACCUACCCAUUACAGGGGUAUAACCUUGCGAAAGUAAGACUAAUACCCCAUGGCAUUUUAUGGUGGCAUCAUUAUAGGAUUAAAGAUUUAUUGGUAAUGGAUGGGGAUGCGUCUGAUUAGCUUGCUGGCGGGGUAACGGCCCACCAAGGCAACGAUCAGUAGGGGUUCUGAGAGGAAGCUCCCCCACAAUGGAACUGCGCCACGGUCUAAACUCCUACGGGAGGAAGCAGUGACGAAUAGUGGGCAAAGGGCGAGAGCUUGACCCAGCCAAGUAGAGUGCAGGAUUCCGCCCCUACGGGUGGUAAACUGCUUUUAUAGGGGAAUAAAGUGAGUGACGUGUAAUUUAUUGCAUGUACCCUAUGAAUAAGGACCGGCUAAUUCCGUG